This 254-nucleotide ribosomal RNA is filed under the name uncultured bacterium. RNAcentral's name for it is "partial 16S ribosomal RNA". It matches the Rfam family "Archaeal small subunit ribosomal RNA", at positions 474 to 727 of the family's 1478-position model. The record is from RNAcentral.
UACCAGCACCCCCGAGUGGUCGGGACGUUUAUUGGGCCUAAAGCAUCCGUAGCCGGUUCUACAAGUCUUCCGUUAAAUCCAACUGCUUAACAGGUGGGCUGCGGAAGAUACUAUAGAGCUAGGAGGCGGGAGAGGCAAGCGGUACUCGAUGGGUAGGGGUAAAAUCCGUUGAUCCAUUGAAGACCACCAGUGGCGAAGGCGGCUAUCUGGACGGUUUCUGACACUAAGACUCGAAAGCGUGGGGAGCAAACAGG